This 1619-nucleotide long non-coding RNA is filed under the name Mytilus galloprovincialis (Mediterranean mussel). The record is from RNAcentral. Lineage: Eukaryota; Metazoa; Mollusca; Bivalvia; Mytilida; Mytilidae.
AAAUUAAUAAGGCUUUAACUAAAAUUGAAAAGUCAAUUAUCAAAUAUUCAUUAUCAUUUUUUUAUAUCAAUAAACUGUAAGUAUGAAGUAAAAUAAUUGUUUAAUUGAGAUGUUUAAGUUACAGGAAUUGCCUUUUAUAAAAAAAGAGAAAAUACUUCCCCAAAUGUUUAAAGUAUGUCUAGACAUUAACUUUAUAUGUCAGGUCAUUAUCAUAAGACAAGAUUAACUCCAAGGAUGACUAAGUGCACACUUAUAUGAAUGUAAAACAAAAGUAAAUACAAAUGUAGAACAGUGUGUUGUAAGGAAAGCAAGAAUGAAGGAUUUUUUUUUUUAAUAAUUUUAAGUAUGAAUAAAUUUUCUUCUUGAAUCUUAAACAUUUAGACUGUGGUGUACAUUUAAAUUCAUUUUAUGCCAGGAAUCUACUGCAAAACAAAUUUUACUAAUCAUACUUUUAUAUUUUUACACUUUGAUGGUAGAACUAUACAGAUGAUUCCAUAUAAAUGACAGUACCAUAAUUGACAUUUAAUCUUUUUUCCUUAAUUUGUAUCAAAAGUUAUAUUGCAACUCUGGGAAAAAUAAUAUUUAAAACAACAUGCAUUCUGUUAAGGACUUUUUGGUUUUGAUGCUUAUUAGUUUUAUGUACAAUAUAUUUGGCUUUCCCAAACUUUUGGUAUCAUAGUCAUGCCCACUGAUAUCUGUAUCAUCCUUAUAUCUAUUCAGGACCACUAGGUUGGUACCCCAAUUGGAGGACAAUUAAUCCUAAAAAGUAUCAUACACCCCUUAUCUGGUACUUUGGUAUAGGUAUGAAUAAAAUAAUAUAGUCCGACUUAAUUGUCAUUUCAUCAAUAUGUAAUACAUGUAAUACUAUAGCUAAGACUUCAACUCUUCCAGGCAAAAUUGUUCAAAGACUUAACUGGCUACUGUGCAUUCUUUAUUAUUUGUAGGAUACCAAAUUUUGUGGACUUCAUGGGUAUAGGUAAACCACAAAUUUAAAUGUUCAACAAGGGACACAUGUUCUGUAGACUUAAAUGCAGACGAAGUCAAAAUAAAAAAUACACAAAAAUGCAAUUUUUCCCCCAAUCCACAAAUAAUAGAUCCCACUAACAUGAAUUCACAGUAUUCCAUAAUCCAGUAACAUCCUUUAUGUGAAUGAAUAUAAAUAAUUAUUACCAUUGAUACCUGUAAGGGCAAUAAAUGAAGGGACAAUUAAAAUACUUCAAAUAUUAAUGCCAUAUACAAACUCAAUUCUUUCAGUUUCUUUAGUGUAAAAAGGUAGUGAAAUGGUGCAAAAUGUAACUCCAUUCCUUAUAAAAACCCAAAAAUCUUUUCAUAAUCUACCCAAAUCUGAUAAUAUGGAGAAGUGGUAUGAUUGCCAAUUAGACAACUAUCCAGUAUUCAUCAGAAUUCCCCGAAAACGUUUUCAUUAAAACAGGAAGUCAUUUAAAUUUUUGAUUUAUUGUGAAAAAAUAUCUAAGGGACGAAUUUAAUUCUUCAGGUUAAGAGUAAUGAUUUAAUGUUAAACCAUUUUCUUGUUAUUAUUUAAAAUGAUUUUUUUUUACUUGGAAUUAUCACCAAUUUAACAAUAAAUAAUGACAUAUUCUAUAUGUAUUAUGUAAAAG